Molecule: ribosomal RNA, 475 nt
Filed under: uncultured bacterium
Lineage: Bacteria
Description: partial 16S ribosomal RNA
Rfam family: Bacterial small subunit ribosomal RNA
Source: RNAcentral
UGAACGCUGGCGGCAUGCCUUACACAUGCAAGUCGAACGGUAACAGGUUAGGCUGACGAGUGGCGAACGGGUGAGUAAUGUAUCGGAACGUGCCCAGUCGUGGGGGAUAACUGCUCGAAAGAGCAGCUAAUACCGCAUACGACCUGAGGGUGAAAGCGGGGGAUCGCAAGACCUCGCGCGAUUGGAGCGGCCGAUAUCAGAUUAGGUAGUUGGUGAGGUAAAGGCUCACCAAGCCGACGAUCUGUAGCUGGUCUGAGAGGACGACCAGCCACACUGGGACUGAGACACGGCCCAGACUCCUACGGGAGGCAGCAGUGGGGAAUUUUGGACAAUGGGCGCAAGCCUGAUCCAGCCAUGCCGCGUGCGGGAAGAAGGCCUUCGGGUUGUAAACCGCUUUUGUCAGGGAAGAAAAGGUUCUGGCUAAUACCUGGGACUCAUGACGGUACCUGAAGAAUAAGCACCGGCUAACUACGUG